UACGUAGGCAGCGAGCGUUGUUCGGAGUUACUGGGCGUAAAGCGUGCGUAGGCGGUGUCUUAAGUUUGUUGUGAAAUCUCCCGGCUUAACCGGGAGGGUGCGGCGAAUACUGAGAUGCUGGAGUGCCGGAGAGGUAAGCGGAAUUCCUGGUGUAGCGGUGAAAUGCGUAGACAUCAGGAGGAACACCUGCGGUGUAGACGGCUUACUGGACGGUAACUGACGCUGAGGCACGAAAGCGUGGGUAGCAAACAGG
This 253-nucleotide ribosomal RNA is filed under the name uncultured bacterium. RNAcentral describes it as "partial 16S ribosomal RNA". It matches the Rfam family "Bacterial small subunit ribosomal RNA", at positions 524 to 776 of the family's 1533-position model. The record is from RNAcentral.